RNAcentral lists this long non-coding RNA (5969 nucleotides) under Homo sapiens (human). Its description in RNAcentral is "non-protein coding TRHDE-AS1:16". The record is from RNAcentral. Lineage: Eukaryota; Metazoa; Chordata; Mammalia; Primates; Hominidae.
AUUCUCGAUGAGCGCGUUGUAGAUAAUCUUCAGAUUGUAAUUCCUCUGCGCGUCCAGUGUCCUAUUCAGCACCACCACUAAGACCUGGGUUUGCGGGUAGAGGAAAAAACCGGCUACAGGGACAGCCCCGAACGCCCGGUCCUCGGCCAGCUGCACUUUCUCCACCGCCACUCGGGAAGCGUGCAGCACUACGUAGCGGGUGGCGUUCCGGCACGCGAUCUCCACGUUGACCUCCCCGGAGAAGGUGAAGUUCUCCAUGAAGGCGGUGAGCAUCAGAUUGUAGUGCAGCGGCUUCAGGUGGCCCGACAGGCGCAGCUGCGUCCACGGCUCCCACGGCUCCCGCUCCUCCUCCGACGGCGGCUGGGCCGACGUGGUCCCCGGACUGGCCACCCCACCCGCCUCGGGCUGCCAGGAGUCCCCGCCUGCGUGGUGGUUGCGCCGGGCCGAUCCAGGGAGGCUCCCGUUGCCGCCGCGCUCCGGAAAGCCUGAGGGGCCACCGUCGGCGCCUGGCGUGGCACUCGCCCCGCACUCGUCGAAGCGCAGGCUGAGCAGCACAGCGAGCAUUGUGACCGCGAGCAAUGCCACGAGGGACACAGCGAAGGCCAGCACAAGCCGCUUGUGUACGGCGAUGUGGCGCUCCGUGGUGCGGGGUCGCACUCCCACUGAGUCUGCCCACGGGUCGGAGAGCCCCCUGCUGCCAGCCCGAAGCGCGGCGUCGUCUUCCCCCAUCGCGGCUGCGAAGGCGGCGGCGUUCGGUCCUCUGGGUGGAAUGUGCUCGCAGCAGCAGUGACGGCGGCCACAGCACGGGAGGCACCCGAGCCAUACACCCUGCAGCUGGAGAGAAAAGGAUGGCCGAGGUGGGAGAGACUAGAGUGAACCAGCAGGAGGAAGUCCCAGGGCCGCGAAGCUACGACGGAGAUCCGUCCUGGAAAAGCCUUCUCCACCCUGGGCACUUUAAGCGGCGGUGGCGGCAAACGGCAGGAGGUUGCAGACCCGACAGCGAGACUCCCUCAUUCCAGUCUUGCUCUGCCCUCCGGAGAUGACAAGUGAGAAAGAAGUGUCCGGCCGGGCCAUCCCCUUCAGUUACCAAGAAUAACUGUAAAAUGUGCUGGGAAUGCAAUGUCCUGAGAUAAGGAAGAACUGCCUGAAACAGCCUGGAUCUUAUUCCUGUACUUCCUAGGGAAUGUAACAUCUCAAGUUAAAGAGGAACUGCCCGGAACAGCCCGGGGAUUGUUCCUCUCUCCUGAGAAGGAAGAUUACCUCCAAAGCUCAUCCACUGAGUCACACUGCCCCUGUGGUGGAGGGCGGGCUGCCUUUCCAGGUUCCUCAGCUGUGGUGUAACUGAAGCAGGCACAAUCAAGACUCCAUCUGCUCGAGGCAGCUUUCUCGAACCUUGGGGAACCUACUCACAAUGGAUCACAGGCUUCUUUUGUUUUGUUUCUUGCUGCCUAUCUGUAAGUAAUUAACUUGCUUCAUGUAACGUGUUGCAUAUGAGUGUGUUCUGUCUCAUAGACUCAGGGAAUUGGUAACACUGCAGCUGAGGACGCAGUGGACAGAAGUGUUCAGACUCCUGUUCCUUGUGGUUGACACAGUGAUGAUGAUCUCUUCUGUCCUCCACAGAGUGGAAGUCCUCUCUUGGGAUUGGUUAUUGGUGAAACCACUUCGCAAUUUAUUAAGAUGGCAAAAGCUUACGGAGGGACAGAUUUGAGGGGAAGAUCAAGAUUUUUCUGUCAGUAUUGCAAAUAGUCAAGAAUAUGUGGUCCAAGAAGUGAUCAUUAUCUUUGGCAUUGUGCAAGUCAUUAGUGACCUUCACAUGAACAGUCUCAGUGGAGUGUUGGAGGAAAAAGCCUAACUGAAGAAGGUUCAAGAGUGAAUGGAAAAAGAGCAGUAGUAUGUGGAGAGUACAGACAAGUAUUUCCAGGAGCCUUUCUGUAAAGAGUGGUAGAGAAUGGGACAUCAUUUUUGGAUGGGGGAAGAGUUAUUUAUAGCAUGUUCAUAUGCUAAUGGAAGUGAUCUACUCAUGGGGAAAAUCUUGAUGAUGCAAGAAAGAAAGGGAUUUGUUGGAAUCUUGUCCUAUAACGGGUGAGAGGGGAUGGGUUCUAGAAGAAAAGGCAUGGGUCUUUGUUUGAGAUCAGGCAAUUCAUCUGUAGGAACCAGUAGGAAGAUGGUUAAGUGGGUACCUGUGGUAGUGGAUGUUUGUGAACAUUCUUUUCUUUUCCAUUGUUUCUAUUUUCUCAAUAAAGUGGGAAGCAAAAAUCAGCUGAGUGAAGAUGAGGAAGAAGGUGUUAAAGGUUUGAAGAAAAAAGGAAAAGGAUAUACUAAUCUAAGAGGACAAGUAAGUAGAACAUAGAUAAUGAAAAUGCUGGCCCUUAGGACUGUUGGGCCUAAAUGCUCAUAUUAUAUUGGUAGUCACAAAUUUGAACUUUCUCUAGAGCCAAUUUUUGCAUGUGUGUGCAGGCCUGGAGUAGUUGGAGAGUUGGAUUUAAUAGAAUUGAGGGUCAAGCAACUACAACCAGGGAAGAGUGGGACAAGGGAGAUAAAGGAUAUUGGCAGGGGAGCAAUUAUAAACAUGGACCAUGAUCAAAACUGGACAGGAAGGAAAAUAGAGAUAAGAGGGGUGGAAGGUUAAAAAUAGUGAAAAUGAGAUAGAAUGAAUAGGUUGUAGGUCCCUGUAAAGUUGAAGAAGUAUUAUUAUGCAGUACUCGUUAUUGAAAUGAGGUCACUAUGCUUAAGGCACAGUGAAUCCUAGAAAAUAGUGGUUUUGUUUCUCAUUAGGCAAUACAUUCCUCCUUGCUCCAGAAUGCAACAUACAUGUAUCCUUUUCUGUACUAUUUUUUAUUAAGAAUUCAUACUUAAUUCCACUGACUGCCACUCAAUUUUAAUGUACAGUAGGGAAUUCCUGUACUAUGUAUUAUGAAUCCAUUCCUUUGAAUUUCAUUUAUAAUACUUCAUGACUGACACCUGGCUUUCCACCAAGACUCAAUUUUCAUAGCAAGCCUCAUCAUCAUAAGCCCCCAAAUUAACAGGAUGAGGAGGAAGAAUUGGCAGGCUAAAGAAGAUGAUUAUAUCAAUUAAUGCAGAAAAAGCAUUUGAUAAAAUCCAAUAUUCAUUUGUAAUUAAAAACUCUCAGCAAGUUAGGGAUAGGAAUUACUUCAACUUAAUGAAGAGUGUCUUUAAAAACCUUAUUUUCAUCAGUUAUAACAAAUGUACCACUCUGGUGGUGAAUGUUGCUAAGGAGGGAAGCUAUACAUGUGUGGGGAAAGGAGAUGUGUGAGCAAUUUCUGUACCUUCUACUCAAUCUUCUGUGAGACUAAAAUUGCUGUAAAAAAUAAAGUUCAUUUUUUUAAAAACCUACAGCUGUCAUUCUUAAUGCUGAAAGACAGAAUGCUUUUCUCUAAGAUAGGGAACAAGGCAAAGAUUCAGUUCUCACCACUCCUAUUCAACACAGCACUACAAGUUCUAGCCACUGAAAUGGGGGUUGGGGGGAAGCAGAAGAAGAAAAGAAAUAAAAUGUAUACAGUUUCAAAAGGAAGAAUUAAAAUAGUCCCUGUGUGCAGAUGACAUGAUUGUCUAUUUAGUAAACCCAUGGAUUAUACAAAAAUAAAAUUCCGAGAACUUAAAAAGUGAUUUCAGCAAGAUCACAGGAUAUAAGAUCGAGAUGAAAACCAAUGUCAUUUCUAUAUACAGUAAGUCCUCUCUCUUAAUAUCAUCAAUAGGUUCUUGGAAACUGACUUUAAGCAAAACAACAUAAAACUAAACCCAAUUUUUCAUCAUCAAAGUUAUAACAAAAUGAUGUUGAACAAAACUACAUUAUUUCAGGACCUGCCAUACAUCAUGUCACUUAAAAUUACAGUUUCUAAGAACCUACCAAUGGCAUUAUGUGAGAAUUACUGUAGUAACAAUAAACGUAUGAAAACCAAAAUUAAAACACAUUUACAAUCAACCCAAGGAAAAUGAAAUAUUGAGGUAUAAACUUAAUGUUUUAUGAGGCAACUUAAUGAGGCAAAAAAAUGUAUACUAUCUGAUGCUGAAAAUUGCAAAUGCUGAUGAAAGAAAUCAGUGAUGACAAAUAAACAGAGAGACAUACUAUAGUCACAAAUUGGAAGACUCAACAUAGUAAAAAUGUCAAUUUGCCUCAAAGUAAUCUGUAGGUAUAAGACAAUUAUCAAAAUUCAGGGAAGUUUUUUGUAGGCAUUGGCUAGCCUAUUCUAAAAUUUAUAUGAAAAGCACAAACCUUAGAAUAUCUAAGAUAAUCUGAAAAGAAGAAUAAAGUGAGAGGAAUCACUCUACCUGAUAUUAAGCUUUAUAAUACAGUAACAGUACUCAAGACUGUGUGGUAUUUGCCAAGGCAUGGACUCAGAUCAAUGGAACAGAAGAGAAAACACAGGAAUAGACCCAUAUAAACAUUUCCAACUGAUUGUUUUCCAAUCGAUUUGUGACAAAAGUGCAGAAGUAAUUCAGUGAAGGAAGGAUAGCCUUGCAACAAGUUGUGCUGAAGCAGUGAGCACCCAUAGGCAAAAAGAAAAAGAGAACAUCAACCUUAACCUCACAUCUUAUACAAAAAUUAAUCCAAAAUUGAUAAUAGACUUAAAUGUAAAAUAUAAAACAUUUCACAAAAAUAGAAGAAAGUCUUCAGGAUCUAGGACUAGGCAAAUAAUUCUUAAAUGAUAUCAAAAGCAUAAUUCAUAAAGGGAAAAGUUGAUAAAUUAGACCUCAUUAAAAUUAAAAACUUAUGGAAAAUGUGCUGUUAAGAGGAUAAAAAAUAUAAGCUACAGACUGAAAGAAAAUAUUUGCAAGCCACAUAACUGACAAAGGACUAGUAUCUAGAAUAUAUAAAGAAUUUUCAAUACUCAGUUGUAAAAACAAAAUAAUUCAACCAGAAAAUUGAUAUGAGCAAACAUGUCACUGAAGAGGAUGUACAGAUGGCAAAAAUGCAUGUAAAAAGAUUUCAACUUCAUAAACCGUUAGGGAAAUGUGAAUUAAGCAACCAAUCAGAAUGGUUAAAAUGUUUAAAAAAUAGUAACACCACCAAAUAUUGGCAAGGAUAUAAAGGAAUCGAAUCACUCAUGCAUUGCUAGUAAAAAAUGUAAAGAGGUACAGCCACACUGGGAAACCUUUUCAUGGUUUUCUAAAAACUAAGCAUGGAGUUACCAUACAUCCCAGCAGUUCUACUCAUCAGCAUUUAUCCCAGAGAAAUAAAAAUUUAUGUUUACACUAAAACCUAUAUAUGAAUGUUCAUAAUAGCAUUUUUCAUAGUAGCCAAAAAUUGGAACCGUCUCAGGUGUCCUACCAUGGGUGAAUGGUUAAACAAACUAUGGUGCAUCUAUAUCUACCAUGAAGUAGAACUCAGCAAUAAAAAGGAAUGAACUAUUCAUACACCUUAUAACUUGGAUGCAUCUCCAGGUAAUUGUGCUGAGUGAAAAAAAAAAAAAAAAGCCCCAAUUCCAAAAGGUUAUAUACUCUAUGAUUCUACUUCUGCAAUGUUUAUUAAAUGAUAAAAUUACAGAAGUGGGAAAAUGAUUAGUGGUUUCCAGGGGGUAUAUACAGUAAGGGUGAGAGGGCCGGAAGAGUGCAGUUUUAUAAGGGCAACAUAAGGGACCCUUAUGGUGAUGGGACUGUUCUGUAUCUUGACUCUGUUGGUAGUCACAUGAAUCUACACAUGAUAAAAUUGCAUAGAAUUAAACAUAUAUACACACUCAAAUGAAUGCAUGUAAAACCGGUAAAAUCUGAAUAAGGUAAAUGGAUCAUAAUCAAUGUCAAUUUUCCAUUUGUGAUAUUAUACUAUAGUUAUGUAAGAUGAUGUUAGCAUUGGGAGAAACUGGGUGAUGGAUAUACAGAAUCUUUCUGUAUUAUUUCUUGUAAUUGCAUAUGUAUCUCAAUGGUCUCAAAAUAAAAAGUUAAAUAAAUAAGAGAGACCAAAAAGUGGCUUUCCAGUGGAGAACUGAGAUAAUCUGAGCAUCUUAUGCUCU